GGGGCGUUAGCUCUGUUGGUAGAGCAGUUGACUUUUAAUCAAUUGGUCGCAGGUUCGAAUCCUGCACGCCCCACCA
Molecule: transfer RNA, 76 nt
Filed under: Citrobacter portucalensis
Lineage: Bacteria; Pseudomonadati; Pseudomonadota; Gammaproteobacteria; Enterobacterales; Enterobacteriaceae
Description: tRNA-Lys
Rfam family: tRNA
About the family: Transfer RNA (tRNA) molecules are approximately 80 nucleotides in length.
Source: RNAcentral